AAAGUCGUAACAAGGUUUCCGUAGGUGAACCUGCGGAAGGAUCAUUACCUUUCAAUGCAGCAGAAUUGGGAUGGUUGAGUUUCUCGCCUCUCAAUUCUGCCUGUAUUCUACCCUUGUUUGUCAUAUACUAUUAUUUCCUCGGCAGGCAAGCCUGCCGAGUGAAACCCAUUAUAACCUAUUUAAUUUUCAAUCAGCGUCUGAAAAAAUUAAUAAUUACAACUUUCAACAACGGAUCUCUUGGUUCUG
RNAcentral lists this unclassified non-coding RNA (246 nucleotides) under Ascomycota sp. Its description in RNAcentral is "partial contains small subunit ribosomal RNA, internal transcribed spacer 1, and 5.8S ribosomal RNA". The stretch from base 1 to 47 matches the Rfam family "Eukaryotic small subunit ribosomal RNA", at positions 1785 to 1831 of the family's 1831-position model. The record is from RNAcentral. Lineage: Eukaryota; Fungi; Ascomycota.